Molecule: ribosomal RNA, 253 nt
Filed under: uncultured bacterium
Lineage: Bacteria
Description: partial 16S ribosomal RNA
Rfam family: Bacterial small subunit ribosomal RNA
Source: RNAcentral
UACAGAGGGGGCAAGCGUUAUUCGGAAUUAUUGGGCGUAAAGGGCGCGUAGGCGGCUUGGCAAGUGGAUGGUGAAAUCCCUCGGCUUAACCGAGGAACUGCCAUCCAGACUGCUUUGCUUGAGGCCGGGAGAGGUGAGUGGAAUUCCCAGUGUAGCGGUGAAAUGCGUAGAUAUUGGGAGGAACACCAGUGGCGAAGGCGGCUCACUGGACCGGUUCUGACGCUGAUGCGCGAAAGCGUGGGGAGCGAACAGG